GGGGAGGCGUGAGAUGACAGAUGAUAGCUCUUCUUGCAUUCUUUGGGUGGUGGUGCAUGGCCGUUCUUAGUUGGUGGAGUGAUUUGUCUGGUUAAUUCCCCGUUAACGANACGAGACCUUAACCUGCUAAAUAGGGUACGGGAAUAGGCUUCGUCUGUCCCGUGAUCGCUUCUUAGAGGGACUUUGCGGUUAUAAAUCGCAAGGAAGUUUAAGGCAAUAACAGGUCUGUGAUGCCCUUAGAUGUCCUGGGCUGCACGCGCGCUACACUGAUGCGUUCAUCGAGUUUAUCCUUGGCCGAGAGGCCUGGGUNAAUCUUUAGUACGCAUCGUGAUGGGGAUCGAUUAUUGCAAUUAUUAAUCGUGAACGAGGAAUGCCUAGUAUGCGCAAGUCACCAGCUUGUGCAGAUUACGUCCCG
This 415-nucleotide ribosomal RNA is filed under the name Theileria cervi. RNAcentral describes it as "SSU rRNA". It matches the Rfam family "Eukaryotic small subunit ribosomal RNA", at positions 1227 to 1653 of the family's 1831-position model. Lineage: Eukaryota; Apicomplexa; Aconoidasida; Piroplasmida; Theileriidae. The record is from RNAcentral.